Molecule: ribosomal RNA, 252 nt
Filed under: uncultured bacterium
Lineage: Bacteria
Description: partial 16S ribosomal RNA
Rfam family: Bacterial small subunit ribosomal RNA
Source: RNAcentral
UACGGAGGAUGCGAGCGUUAUCCGGAUUUAUUGGGUUUAAAGGGUGCGUAGGCGGGAUGCCAAGUCAGCGGUAAAAAUGCGGUGCUCAACGCCGUCGAGCCGUUGAAACUGGCGUUCUUGAGUGGGCGAGAAGUAUGCGGAAUGCGUGGUGUAGCGGUGAAAUGCAUAGUUAUCACGCAGAACUCCGAUUGCGAAGGCAGCAUACCGGCGCCCUACUGACGCUGAGGCACGAAAGCGUGGGUAUCGAACAGG